GUGCUCCGCCGCAGGACGAUGUCUUUGCAGCAGUAGAGAUGUCUGCAUAAGCCAAGAAGGAGAUUAAACACACUAAUCUCUCAACUGCAACUGUGGAGGCAACAUAUCCAUGUGACCCUGUCAAACUUCAGUUGGCACCAGCUGGUGGAGAUCAAGGGUGACCAGCGUGAGCUGUAUGAAUCAAACUGGACUCAGAAAAGGUAUGCACGUUCAUUUGAAGUGGCUGCAGAUAUAAGAGU
Molecule: long non-coding RNA, 239 nt
Organism: Melanotaenia boesemani (Boeseman's rainbowfish)
Lineage: Eukaryota; Metazoa; Chordata; Actinopteri; Atheriniformes; Melanotaeniidae
Exons: 3
Source: RefSeq, a predicted model, not a curated record